GCAGUCGUGGCCGAGUGGUUAAGGUGAUUGACUAGAAAUCCAUUGGGGUCUCCCCGCACAGGUUCGAAUCCUGUCGACUGCG
This 82-nucleotide transfer RNA is filed under the name Ixodes scapularis (black-legged tick). It matches the Rfam family "tRNA". From Rfam's summary of the family: Transfer RNA (tRNA) molecules are approximately 80 nucleotides in length. Their secondary structure includes four short double-helical elements and three loops (D, anti-codon, and T loops). Lineage: Eukaryota; Metazoa; Arthropoda; Arachnida; Ixodida; Ixodidae. The record is from Rfam by way of RNAcentral.